RNAcentral lists this ribosomal RNA (468 nucleotides) under uncultured bacterium. RNAcentral describes it as "partial 16S ribosomal RNA". It matches the Rfam family "Bacterial small subunit ribosomal RNA", at positions 28 to 507 of the family's 1533-position model. The record is from RNAcentral.
GACGAACGCUGGCGGCGUGCUUAACACAUGCAAGUCGAGCGGAAGGGCCCUGCUUUUGUGGGGUGCUCGAGUGGCGAACGGGUGAGUAACACGUGAGUAACCUGCCCUUGACUUUGGGAUAACUUCAGGAAACUGGGGCUAAUACCGGAUAGGAGCUCCUGCUGCAUGGUGGGGGUUGGAAAGUUUCGGCGGUUGGGGAUGGACUCGCGGCUUAUCAGCUUGUUGGUGGGGUAGUGGCUUACCAAGGCUUUGACGGGUAGCCGGCCUGAGAGGGUGACCGGCCACAUUGGGACUGAGAUACGGCCCAGACUCCUACGGGAGGCAGCAGUGGGGAAUAUUGCACAAUGGGCGGAAGCCUGAUGCAGCAACGCCGCGUGCGGGAUGACGGCCUUCGGGUUGUAAACCGCUUUCGCCUGUGACGAGGCGUGAGUGACGGUAAUGGGUAAAGAAGCACCGGCUAACUACGUG